This is a long non-coding RNA of Alligator mississippiensis (American alligator), 2387 nucleotides long. RefSeq lists it as uncharacterized. The transcript is spliced from 3 exons. Lineage: Eukaryota; Metazoa; Chordata; Crocodylia; Alligatoridae. The record is from RefSeq and is a predicted model, not a curated record.
AUGAAGGAGAGCAGUGAAUAAACAAUUUAACUCAUGUCACCUUCAUCAGCUGCUCUGCAUUAAGUUGCAAGUUAAGAUCAGCAGUGAGACUAUUUGUAGAUGAAACUAGCCAACUGCCUUAUUAGUACUAGUUUCGUUUUGGUGGCUUUCUUGAUGUGGGCGUAUUUAUUAGGAUUAAAAACCCAAACUUUUUAUCCUAAUAAAAGGAGUUAAAAAGGAAGGCUGGAUCACUAAAGGCUUCAAUGGUGCACUAAAGGGACCAUUCUUUGAAGGCCCCUCACUAAAUGAAAUCCAGUGGUUUCCAAAGAUGGACAAAGAUUGAAGAUCCAAUAGUCUGUUUUAAGGACUUAGAGACCACUGUGUGGCAUUCAAGGAUUUUGUCUUGAUGAUGAUGACUGAUCAAAUGAUUGAAAAUGGGAAGAAACUGUUUUGUUUUCAGAGCCAUCUCAAUCACAUUGACAGAACAGACAGAAGUACAACUAUUGAUGGUCCAGAAGUGCUAUAAUUACCCUUUUCCUCUAAUUCAAACCACACUGUGCUGUGAAAAAAAAGGAAAGCCAACCUGCGAUUAUUAGUUCCUAUGAUUUCAAUGGAGUUAAGUGACUAGUACAGCUAGAUUCUAUUCCACCUCCCAUAAGAAGUCCCUUAAUGUUAUUCUAUUCCACCCUGUUCAAGUCCUGAAAGUUUAUUAAUGCAUCUACUUUUGUAACAUUCCAUCACCUGCCCCUUAAGAUUCAGUGAAAAAAAAAGCAGUAAGGAUAAGGAAGGACCCACUUACCUUUUUCAUUUACUGUUUUCCAUGGAUUCAAGCAGGUAGACACCUAAGUCUACUUACAUGCUAAUAGUUAGGCUAGAAUCUCAUCCUAAGUGAUUUUGAAAAUGCCUCUAGUAGUCAGCUGUAUCUUUAGACUCCUAAAUACUUUUUAAAAAACCUGACCCUUUUGGCCAACUCCUUUUGUUUUCCUCAACCCUUAAGCAAAAAUUGGAUUCACCUCAAUGCUUAAUGUCUUGGUUUCAAUAGUUUAGCCUAAUUACUCUGUAAAAACUGAGUUGAGUUAAGAUUUCAGAGCUUGCACACAGAGCAGAAGUGUUCCUUGAAUAAGAUUUCUUCUUUUAUUUGGGAUGGGAUACAAUAAUCUGUAUAAAAAUACUGGCUUCAGUACUAGCUGUGGUUUUGGCUUCUUCGGUGCCAGAUAAUCUAUCACAGAUCCAACUCAGUAUUACAUUGGUAAAGGUGAAAGGAAAGGACAAGUGGACAGUAUACACAAUUCUAAGCAGAGAGAAAGGGAAAUUAAAAAUCCCACCAUUCCUCUAUGGAUAAACCUACAUCUUUCACCAAAAUAGUAGCAGCAAGCAGUCAGGCACUGCAAAUAUUAGUACAAACAAAGGAACUAGCACUGACACUAAUUAUGAAUUUAAAAUGCAACCACACUGAGCAACAGCUAUUGAGCACCAGAGCCCGAUAUAAGGCAUCAUUCUUUAGCACUGUUAUUUGUUUGAGGAUUUUUGUUUUCCUCAACAUUUUUGCCAAUAAAUGCAUUUUCUCCAACACAGAGACUUUCCUGCUGUGAUUUGCAAGCAACCUCAGAGUCAACAUGGGAAACCUUCAUGGGACAAUAAACUUACACAGAAACCCAUCCUGAUUGGGACCUCAGCAUAGGCCUCUUGCUUCAGACAUAUACCAGCUCCAGAGAUCAGGAAAUCAGUAAAUGAUGCAAGCAUUUGCACUGUGUCUUUGACUAAGCUAAUAGGUCAGAUGGUGAGUUUGGGAGAGCUGUAUUAUAAUCAGUCUUUGUCUUAUACAUCUGGAAUUCCUUAUUCACACCACUCAGGAGAUACUGCAUGCCAACCACCUACAGUGAGAUCCACACUGUGCCUUCUUUGGGAUGCACAGUGCAAGCAACAUCAUGAAGAAGCACAAAUACUGUAGGUUCUCCGCUUGUGAACCUGGAUCAGGAAGACUUCUUUUCUUUCAUCCUUCAUCAGCCUUUUUUACUGGACUGUUAACCUUUACUGACAAGAACUGUCUCUUGAACUGUCUGUACUAACCUGUGGUAUCUUGAUGAGGCUUGUGGUACAUAGGCAAUUCUUUCUUAUAUACAGGAAAUUAUAUGCACAACUCUUUACUGUAUGAUGUAGCAGUUAUAGCUACUGCUUUUGCAAGGAUCUUGUGGCUGGCUUGUUCCUGUUCUGCAACAUGGAAGUUCCUGCUGGACUCACCUAGACUGUCUCCUCAGAUGCCACACUUCCUGGACACUCUGUGUUUCCAGAAGGACUUACUGUCUAUCAUAGUAGUGCCUAGCAUAAUGGGUCUUUGGUUUUGGUUGAGCCAGAAGACAUUGUCAUAUUAUGAAAAAUAAAGAACAAUAAAAUUAAAGUGACACCAA